RNAcentral lists this ribosomal RNA (253 nucleotides) under uncultured bacterium. Its description in RNAcentral is "partial 16S ribosomal RNA". It matches the Rfam family "Bacterial small subunit ribosomal RNA", at positions 524 to 776 of the family's 1533-position model. The record is from RNAcentral.
UACGUAGGGCGCAAGCGUUGUCCGGAAUCAUUGGGCGUAAAGAGCUCGUAGGUGGUCUGUUACGUCUGCUGUGAAAUCCUAGGGCUUAACCCUGGGCCUGCAGUGGAUACGGGCAGACUAGAGGUAGGUAGGGGAGAAUGGAAUUCCCGGUGUAGCGGUGAAAUGCGCAGAUAUCUGGAGGAACACCGGUGGCGAAGGCGGCAUCCUGGACCAAUACUGACACUGAGGAGCGAAAGCCAGGGGAGCAAACGGG